AAAUUGAAGAGUUUGAUCAUGGCUCAGAUUGAACGCUGGCGGCAGGCCUAACACAUGCAAGUCGAACGGUAACAGAAAGCAGCUUGCUGCUUUGCUGACGAGUGGCGGACGGGUGAGUAAUGUCUGGGAAACUGCCUGAUGGAGGGGGAUAACUACUGGAAACGGUAGCUAAUACCGCAUAACGUCGAAAGACCAAAGAGGGGGACCUUCGGGCCUCUUGCCAUCGGAUGUGCCCAGAUGGGAUUAGCUUGUUGGUGGGGUAACGGCUCACC
Molecule: ribosomal RNA, 272 nt
Filed under: Escherichia coli
Lineage: Bacteria; Pseudomonadati; Pseudomonadota; Gammaproteobacteria; Enterobacterales; Enterobacteriaceae
Description: partial 16S ribosomal RNA
Rfam family: Bacterial small subunit ribosomal RNA
Source: RNAcentral